AGAGUUUGAUCAUGGCUCAGAUUGAACGCUGGCGGCAGGCCUAACACAUGCAAGUCGAGCGGAUGAGGGGUGCUUGCACCCCGAUUCAGCGGCGGACGGGUGAGUAAUGCCUAGGAAUCUGCCCGAUAGUGGGGGACAACGUUUCGAAAGGAACGCUAAUACCGCAUACGUCCUACGGGAGAAAGUGGGGGCUCUUCGGACCUCACGCUAUCGGAUGAGCCUAGGUCGGAUUAGCUAGUUGGUGGGGUAAAGGCCCACCAAGGCGACGAUCCGUAACUGGUCUGAGAGGAUGAUCAGUCACACUGGAACUGAGACACGGUCCAGACUCCUACGGGAGGCAGCAGUGGGGAAUAUUGGACAAUGGGCGAAAGCCUGAUCCAGCCAUGCCGCGUGUGUGAAGAAGGUCUUCGGAUUGUAAAGCACUUUAAGUCGGGAGGAAGGGCUGUAGGUUAAUACCCUGCGGUUUUGACGUUACCGACAGAAUAAGCACCGGCUAACUUCGUGCCAGCAGCCGCGGUAAUACGAAGGGUGCAAGCGUUAAUCGGAAUUACUGGGCGUAAAGCGCGCGUAGGUGGUUUGGUAAGUUGGAUGUGAAAGCCCCGGGCUCAACCUGGGAACUGCAUCCAAAACUGCCUGACUAGAGUACGGUAGAGGGUGGUGGAAUUUCCUGUGUAGCGGUGAAAUGCGUAGAUAUAGGAAGGAACACCAGUGGCGAAGGUGACCACCUGGACUGAUACUGACACUGAGGUGCGAAAGCGUGGGGAGCAAACAGGAUUAGAUACCCUGGUAGUCCACGCCGUAAACGAUGUCGACUAGCCGCUGGGCUCCUUGAGAGCUUAGUGGCGCAGCUAACGCAUUAAGUCGACCGCCUGGGGAGUACGGCCGCAAGGUUAAAACUCAAAGGAAUUGACGG
RNAcentral lists this ribosomal RNA (913 nucleotides) under uncultured bacterium. RNAcentral's name for it is "bacterial SSU rRNA". It matches the Rfam family "Bacterial small subunit ribosomal RNA", at positions 8 to 916 of the family's 1533-position model. The record is from RNAcentral.